Molecule: ribosomal RNA, 454 nt
Filed under: uncultured Actinomycetes bacterium
Lineage: Bacteria; Bacillati; Actinomycetota; Actinomycetes
Description: bacterial SSU rRNA
Rfam family: Bacterial small subunit ribosomal RNA
Source: RNAcentral
GAGUUUGAUCAUGGCUCAGGACGAACGCUGGCGGCGUGCUUAACACAUGCAAGUCGAACGAGGUCCACGGUGUAGCAAUACACCUGAAGACCUAGUGGCGAACGGAUAAAAAAAACGUGAGGAACUUGUCCCGGUCUCUGGGAUAACAGUUGGAAACGACUGCUAAUACCGGAUGACGUCGGAGCAUCGCAUGGUGCGCUGACGAAAGGGUUACUGGAUCGGGAGAGCCUCGCGGCCUAUCAGCUUGUUGGUGGGGUAACGGCCCACCAAGGCAUCGACGGGUAGCUGGUCUGAGAGGAUGAUCAGCCACACUGGGACUGAGACACGGCCCAGACUCCUACGGGAGGCAGCAGUGGGGAAUCUUGCGCAAUGGGCGAAAGCCUGACGCAGCAACGCCGCGUGCGGGAUGAAGGCUGUCGGGUUGUAAACCGCUUUCAGCAGGAACGAAAAUGAC